UACGUAGGUGGCGAGCGUUGUCCGGAUUUACUGGGCGUAAAGGGAGCGUAGGCGGACUUUUAAGUGAGAUGUGAAAUACCCUGGCUCAACUUGGGUGCUGCAUUUCAAACUGGAAGUCUAGAGUGCAGGAGAGGAGAAUGGAAUUCCUAGUGUAGCGGUGAAAUGCGUAGAUAUUAGGAGGAACACCAGUUGCGAAGGCGGCUCUCUGGACUGUAACUGACACUGAGGCACGAAAGCGUGGGGAGCAAACAGGAUUAGAUACCCCGGUA
This 269-nucleotide ribosomal RNA is filed under the name uncultured prokaryote. RNAcentral describes it as "partial 16S ribosomal RNA". It matches the Rfam family "Bacterial small subunit ribosomal RNA", at positions 524 to 792 of the family's 1533-position model. The record is from RNAcentral.